Non-coding RNA from Podarcis lilfordi (Lilford's wall lizard), 75 nucleotides. Lineage: Eukaryota; Metazoa; Chordata; Lepidosauria; Squamata; Lacertidae. The record is from the annotation of a GenBank genome assembly.
ACUCAUUCAUAGCUCAGCCAGUACAGCAUUAGACUUUUUAUCUCAGGGUCUUGGGUUCGAGCCCCACAUUGGGCA